This 484-nucleotide ribosomal RNA is filed under the name uncultured bacterium. Its description in RNAcentral is "partial 16S ribosomal RNA". It matches the Rfam family "Bacterial small subunit ribosomal RNA", at positions 30 to 507 of the family's 1533-position model. The record is from RNAcentral.
AUUGAACGCUGGCGGCAUGCCUUACACAUGCAAGUCGAACGGCAGCGCGGGAGCAAUCCUGGCGGCGAGUGGCGAACGGGUGAGUAAUACAUCGGAACGUGCCCAAUCGUGGGGGAUAACGCAGCGAAAGCUGUGCUAAUACCGCAUACGAUCUACGGAUGAAAGCAGGGGAUCGCAAGACCUUGCGCGAAUGGAGCGGCCGAUGGCAGAUUAGGUAGUUGGUGAGGUAAAGGCUCACCAAGCCUUCGAUCUGUAGCUGGUCUGAGAGGACGACCAGCCACACUGGAACUGAGACACGGCCCAGACUCCUACGGGAGGCAGCAGUGGCGAAUUUUGGACAAUGGGCGAAAGCCUGAUCCAGCCAUGCCGCGUGCAGGAUGAAGGCCUUCGGGUUGUAAACUGCUUUUGUACGGAACGAAACGGUCUUUUCUAAUAAAGAAGGCUAAUGACGGUACCGUAAGAAUAAGCACCGGCUAACUACGUG